GAUGAACGCUAGCGGCAGGCCUAAUACAUGCAAGUCGAACGAUAGAAGAGGGCUUGCUCUCUUCGAAAGUGGCGCACGGGUGCGUAACGCGUAUGCAACCUACCUUAAUCAGGGGGAUAGCCCGAAGAAAUUCGGAUUAACACCGCAUAAAAUCACAGUACAGCAUUGUACAAUGAUCAAAUAUUUAUAGGAUUAAGAUGGGCAUGCGUGACAUUAGCUAGUUGGCGGGGUAACGGCCCACCAAGGCGACGAUGUCUAGGGGAUCUGAGAGGAUGACCCCCCACACUGGUACUGAGACACGGACCAGACUCCUACGGGAGGCAGCAGUAAGGAAUAUUGGUCAAUGGAGGCAACUCUGAACCAGCCAUGCCGCGUGCAGGAAGACGGCCCUCUGGGUUGUAAACUGCUUUUAUUCGGGAAUAAACCUCAUUAUGUAUAGUGAGCUGAAUGUACCGAAGGAAUAAGGAUCGGCUAACUCCGUGCCAGCCGCCGCCGUAA
This 498-nucleotide ribosomal RNA is filed under the name uncultured bacterium. RNAcentral describes it as "partial 16S ribosomal RNA". It matches the Rfam family "Bacterial small subunit ribosomal RNA", at positions 28 to 523 of the family's 1533-position model. The record is from RNAcentral.